ACUCUGCAGGCUGGGAGCCCGUGCACGGGGUUGGUGGUACCUCGGGCACUCCAGCCUCGCAGAAAGAGCAUCUUCUGGAGGAAGCUGAGGCAUGCCUGCCCGAGGCCCCAGCCAGCCAUGUGCAAUGUUCCUCCCACAAGCUCAUGAGCACUGUUGCCACGGCGAUAGCGACUGGGCUGUGUCGUUUGUCUAUCAGCAAUAGUCAGAGAAAAGCUGCAGUCUGGAUAUUGUUCGGCAGAUGGAGUGGUUUCUGUUGGGCACUAAAGUACUGCUACAAAU
This is a non-coding RNA of Suncus etruscus (white-toothed pygmy shrew), 279 nucleotides long. The record is from RefSeq and is a predicted model, not a curated record. NCBI's taxonomy places the organism in Eukaryota, Metazoa, Chordata, Mammalia, Eulipotyphla, Soricidae.